AUGUCUCUCAAAAGGCCCAGCAACGACAAAACCCCCGCGCCCCAAAUGAAGCUCGAGGCGGUCCAACUAAAGCAGGAGUCUUGGUCUGAUGAGGAGUCCGAGCAGGCCUCGGCGGCGGACGAGCGCUCCUCGCACUGCGAAGAGGAGCCCAUCAUCGAGGAGAGGAUAGUGUCGUUUUUUGAAGACAGGCCCCAUUUCUACGACCUGACGCACGCGUCCUACAAGAACAAGCAGCGGAGGAAUUUCGAGCUGGCGGAGUUCGCGUGCGUCCUGGGCCAUGGCUGGACCCCCGAGAAGCUGUGGAAGAGGUUCGUCAGCCUGAGGACGGACUACGGCAAGCUCCUCAAAAUGAUCCGCCAGAGCAAGUCCGGCUCCGGGGUGAAGAAGCUAACGCCGAAGCAGCAGUGGAAGUUACGGCGCAUGCAGUUCCUCGAGCCUCACCGGAAGAACUCUGGAGUCUGCGGGGAGGAAGAGCUGGGAAACGUGCCCGCUGCUCCGGCUGGAGAGACCAGCGAGGCGGAGGAGGGAUCUGACGCCGACGACAGCCUGAACAAAGACGACGGCGUUCGAGGCAGGAAGUCCCAGCCCCAGAAGAUAGACGGCAGCGCCAUUGCCACGGUCCUGAACGAAUUCUUGCAGGCCGAGAGGGGGCGCGAGGAGGAGAUCCGGGACAGAGCGAGAUUGGUGGACGAGCGCACGACCUGGUCGUCGUGGUUUGCCUCGGCCUGUGCUAACGUGCCGGUCGAACGGUUUCGAGAGUUCCAGGGGGAGACGUUCUCCCUCCUGAUGCGCUACCUGAACCCCCCCACCGUGCCUGUCGCUCCCCCACAGCAGUACCAGCCCCUGCAGCAGCAGCAGCAGCAGCAGCAGUACCAGAGAGCGUACGUUCAGCAGCCAGACUCCUCGUACAAUAUUACUGUGGUGGGCGAGCCGGCCCAUUCCAGGCCCACUUCUUCCUCUCUGCUUUCAGGCAUUCGACAGCAUCAACAUUCUAACCUGCAGGAACAGCAGCUGGAUCACGGUCCCGGAUCGUCUUACAUUAGUCCCUAUAGCAUGGCAGGUCUGGGCUCAAACAUCAAACGGGAAUAAAGUUCAGCCGCAAACCAGUGUUGUGGGAGAGUUUUUUAAUAUUUUUUAUAUAGAGCUUGUGAAUAUAAACUGUUCUGUUUGUGGAAUAUCGUUAAGUGAUUAAUUGAUGUUUUAUCUUAUGGUUUCCUGCACUGAGCCACAUUUUGAUGUAUAUUGUAAAGUCUGUUUAUUUCUUCUGCAUGAUUAACACUUUCCCCGAUGUGCGUAAAGUGUUUAAUUUAAACCUUUGUUCAUGCGAUAAUUGAUUGGUUGAUUAUUAAGUUAUUUGUUUCUUAGUAUAGCACAGGAGUCCGCAACCUUUGGUGCUGAAAAAGUCUUUUCGUCCAGUUUUUUACCAAGCAAGAAAUGAGAAGUCAUUGUUUAGAAAAAUACCUUUUAUGUUUUUUUUAGCCAUUUAUUUAUAUAAAGGAUAUUUUAAAUAAUUAUAAUAAUGGGAUUAAUAUAAUUUCUUCUUGUUUUACAUUUAAAUAAAAUCUAUCUUGUGCAAAAUAAGCUUCUGCUGCAGCAGAUAUAUAUAAAAACUGAAAAAGAAAGUCAAAUCAAACAUUGAAUUUUUCAUUUUAAGGAAUUUAAUGCGCUUGAUCCUUUUUCUCCUUUUUAAUAUCAAAUAUAAACAUGACAACACUGGUGUAGAAUCUCAUUUUUUAAAUAAAUCUAUAUUUUUAUUCUAAUAAUAAACCAGUCUUACAUUUAUUUUAAUAAUUAUCUGACAUGUUAGAAUUCAAAAUAUAAACGACAAAACCUGAUUAAUUACUAGAAAUGAACCUUAAAUGUUGAAAUCGUUAGCAUUUUUAUUUAAAGCCAAAGAGCCACAGGUUGCAGACCCCUGGUAUAACGUAUCAAUAUUAUUAUAUAUUUAUAUUUUUUUGACCACACAAACACAUUGUCAAGUCCUUCAGCUUCGCCAUUAAAAGUUUGUUUGGAACCGGACCCUCUGUGCCUUUCCCUCUGACCAGUGUUGUUCAAACUCUGUCAUCCUGACUGAUGAAAAGAUGAACAGGGUUGGUUAAUGGUUAAAGUCAGAGGCUGGAAGCAGCUUUGUGUUCUUGUGUUUCCAUGAAGAUGAGCUUGAAAGAGUCACCAGCCACAGGCUCCGCCCCUCCAGCCCGGAGCCGGCUGAGCUGUCAUGAGGAUCACAGCUCAUCACUGCUCACUUUAGUAAUGUCCCUCCCUGGGGUUUAAGUCUGUGCUUUACUAUGAAGGAUCUGAAGACUGAUAUGUUUUCUUCUUCUUUUCUUUUUGCAACGCAGCGGGAGAUUUUUGCAGCUGGAAGCAACAUCAGUUUGAUUUUUUACUCCUUUUUUAUUAUUCAUAUUUUUCUCAGAGUUUAGGAGAGAAAGCCCCAGCCACGACUUUGGAAUUACUCAGAAGUUUCUGGAGGACCCACGGACUAUUUUAACAAUGUAAGAGUUAAGUUUUUGCUCAGUACACCCAAUUAUGAGGAUGCUGGGAUUGAUUUUAUGACAAAACAUUGAGAGAAAAAAGUAGAGGAAGUAAAA
Long non-coding RNA from Oryzias javanicus (javanese ricefish), 2588 nucleotides. Lineage: Eukaryota; Metazoa; Chordata; Actinopteri; Beloniformes; Adrianichthyidae. The record is from Ensembl.